CCUACGGGAGGCAGCAGUGAGGAAUAUUGGUCAAUGGGCGCGAGCCUGAACCAGCCAAGUAGCGUGAAGGAUGACUGCCCUACGGGUUGUAAACUUCUUUUAUAAAGGAAUAAAGUGAGGCACGUGUGCCUUUUUGUAUGUACUUUAUGAAUAAGCAUCGGCUAACUCCGUGCCAUCAGCCGCGGUAAUAUGGAGGAUCCGAGCGUGAUCCGGAUUUAUUGGGUUUAAAGGGAGAGUAGAUGGGUUGUUAAGUCAGUUGUGAAAGUUUGGGGCUCAACCGUAAAAUUGCAAGUGAUACUGGCAGUCUUGAGUACAGUAGAGGUAGGCGGAAUUCGUGGUGUAGCGGUGAAAUGCUUAGAUAUCACGAAGAACUCCGAUGGCGAAGGCAGCUUACUAAACUGCCACUGACAUUGAUGCUCGAAAGUGUGGGUAUCAAACAGGAUUAGAUACCCGAGUAGUC
RNAcentral lists this ribosomal RNA (460 nucleotides) under uncultured bacterium. RNAcentral's name for it is "partial 16S ribosomal RNA". It matches the Rfam family "Bacterial small subunit ribosomal RNA", at positions 338 to 795 of the family's 1533-position model. The record is from RNAcentral.